GUUUGUUCGAGGGUUGCUCCUUUUUUUUUUUUGAAGGUCACCGGGGGGUUGCUCCAUUUGCCAAUUUACCUGUACUGAUGAAGUCAGUAGUCACCACAAGAAUCCUUUGUUGACGAGCACGUGGCACAUCACUAAAUAAUAGUUAGUCCAGAAUUGAGCAUUCCUACGGAUAAGUCAGAUUGAAUCUAGAUUCUAGAUAGACAUGUUCCACCAUAAGGAAUCUAAUUAUUGACAUAAUGAGGGGAGAUGGGUAGACUUUUUUAUGCAGGAAAUGUUUAUAUUUAUAAGAAAUUUUAAAUGCUACUAAAAACAAUUGUUUGCACUGAAGGAGAUGAUUUAAAAGGUAGAAUAUUUAUCAGGGGCGAAUCUGCAGUACGCGGGCACGAUGAUCUCCUGUGCCAGGUUACGUAAUCCAAAAACUCCGCUGCCUUCAGCACCGGCUGGUCCCUGCAGCAGUGUACUGUUGUAUAUACUCUAAUCCCCAAUGUUAGUGAGUGUUUUUUAUUUAUUGGAUUGAUUUAACUCAGAAAACUGCAGAUAUAUCCAACAAUGUGCACAUCCCUCUCUCCGAGGGUUAUUGCCUGUUUUGGUGCAAGUCCGCUUGACUAGAUGAUGUCGAAAAAGGUUAAAACCAGAGAGCUAUUGGUGUCAAGGAGUGCAGAAUGUUCCCUUCUCUCAAGUUCAACCCCCACCCACCCUCGAGCUCUCAUGAUUUUCAGGGCACCUUGAAAGGCAUGUUUAUUGAUUUUGCAUCAGACAAACGGAUGCAUUUUGCAAUGCCUAAAAGUUUUUGCAGCAGCAGCUGUCAACCGAACGGCAGUGGGCGCCUUCUCGCGGAUAGUGUUGCUCUUGGCACACAUCUUGGCAGCCUGUAGGCUUGCAAUCUUUCGAGGAGAAGCACCUAAACAAUGGUGGCGGCACUGGUGACGGCUGCGAGCAUGGGCCUGUGGAGCCUACACCUAAUAUUAAAACAAACGAGAUUAGCUUCUUCACUUAUUUAAUGUAUUUGUAUGAACUUAUGUCUAAAAGGUAAAUGCGAAGUAAGAAGGAUGCUUACAUGAGUUGCUAGCUAGACUGGAUGGAAAAGUGGUGGACAUAAUGGCAAUAACCAAGGAAACUGCGGCGGCCAAGUACAUAAACUUGGCGCGUCGCUCUUGACGACAGCCAUGAUGAAGACAAUACCUUUUUUUGUUUGAGGAAGAGAGGAUUAUUGUUGCUGUGUGUGUAUUCUGGGAUUCAUUGUCCAGGUGUUUAUAUAGAAGCACAAACCAUCCAAAUAAACACUUAAAAAUUAUAUCAAUUUACUCUAUAUAUCUCUAUAUUUUUGUUGUGGA
This is a long non-coding RNA of Panicum virgatum (switchgrass), 1334 nucleotides long. RefSeq lists it as uncharacterized. The transcript is spliced from 2 exons. NCBI's taxonomy places the organism in Eukaryota, Viridiplantae, Streptophyta, Magnoliopsida, Poales, Poaceae. The record is from RefSeq and is a predicted model, not a curated record.